GCCCCUGUUUCGCCGCCGUAUCUGUGCUUCUACCUGCGAGCGAGGACAGCGUGGGGUGCCUCCCGGAAGGCGCCAUGGAAACCCCUGGAUCCCGGCCAUCUCCAAAACUAAGGGCUUUCCUGAAAACUUCACACUCAGGAAUCCAUGACGUCGCCUCCUCCGCGGCCAGCCAGCUCCGUGGCUCCUUCGGCCGCCAAGCACAAGUCCCUGAUUGUUCGGGGCAGAGAAAAAGUCAGGGAGAGGGAGGCGAGCAGGGGUGGGGGCGCGGCCCGCCAGGCCCUGCAGGAGCUGCGUGCAAACUCGCAGACAGCCACCGCCUCCCUGCUGCAGCUUUGCCUGAAUCCAACCUCCUGACACCCCACUUUCUGAGAGGGUCCCCCUCGGAGAAAGCUCCCCAGGAUUUCAGCCUGCACCCCGGGGUUGUCCAGGAUCCCUUGGACGCUUGCCCAGGGGUGUCUCCUUAGGCCCUCAGUGCCUCUGAGUGCCCAGACUCUUGUGUGUUCAGGGAUGAAGAGGAGCAAGACGAAGGAAAAAGAAAUAAAUAACAGCGCCUGUGCCAACUGU
Mastomys coucha (southern multimammate mouse) is the source of this 564-nucleotide long non-coding RNA. RefSeq lists it as uncharacterized. The record is from RefSeq and is a predicted model, not a curated record. Lineage: Eukaryota; Metazoa; Chordata; Mammalia; Rodentia; Muridae. The transcript is spliced from 2 exons.